This 253-nucleotide ribosomal RNA is filed under the name uncultured bacterium. RNAcentral describes it as "partial 16S ribosomal RNA". It matches the Rfam family "Bacterial small subunit ribosomal RNA", at positions 524 to 776 of the family's 1533-position model. The record is from RNAcentral.
CACGUAGGGGGCAAGCGUUGUCCGGAAUGAUUGGGCGUAAAGGGCGUGCAGGCGGCUUUGCAAGUCUGAUGUGAAAGGCAGCGGCUCAACCGUUGAGUGGCAUUGGAAACUGCGGAGCUUGAGUCCAGGAGAGGAGAGUGGAAUUCCACGUGUAGCGGUGAAAUGCGUAGAGAUGUGGAGGAACACCAGUGGCGAAGGCGGCUCUCUGGCCUGAGACUGACGCUGAGGCGCGAAAGCGUGGGGAGCGAACAGG